Molecule: small nuclear RNA, 160 nt
Organism: Ornithorhynchus anatinus (platypus)
Lineage: Eukaryota; Metazoa; Chordata; Mammalia; Monotremata; Ornithorhynchidae
Product: U1 spliceosomal RNA
Exons: 1
Source: RefSeq, a predicted model, not a curated record
GUAAAGACCUGGCAGGAGAGACACGGUGAUCAUGGAGGUGGUUUUCCUAGGGUGAGACUCAGCCACUGAAUUCUGGGUGUGCUGACCCCUGCAAUGUUCCAAAGGUCGGGAAUUCGACAGCAUAAUUUGUGAUAGUGGGGGAAGACUUCAUUCGCCUUGA